This 22-nucleotide microRNA is filed under the name Bos taurus (domestic cattle). Its description in RNAcentral is "bta-miR-2380". The record is from miRBase by way of RNAcentral. Lineage: Eukaryota; Metazoa; Chordata; Mammalia; Artiodactyla; Bovidae.
GUGACUGUACUUUAAAAGGUUA